CUGUCGGCGUGCUUAACACAUGCAAGUCGAACGGAAAGGCCCUGCUUUUGUGGGGUGCUCGAGUGGCGAACGGGUGAGUAACACGUGAGUAACCUGCCCUUGACUUUGGGAUAACUUCAGGAAACUGGGGCUAAUACCGGAUAGGAGCUCCUGCUGCAUGGUGGGGGUUGGAAAGUUUCGGCGGUUGGGGAUGGACUCGCGGCUUAUCAGCUUGUUGGUGGGGUAGUGGCUUACCAAGGCUUUGACGGGUAGCCGGCCUGAGAGGGUGACCGGCCACAUUGGGACUGAGAUACGGCCCAGACUCCUACGGGAGGCAGCAGUGGGGAAUAUUGCACAAUGGGCGGAAGCCUGAUGCAGCAACGCCGCGUGCGGGAUGACGGCCUUCGGGUUGUAAACCGCUUUCGCCUGUGACGAAGCGUGAGUGACGGUAAUGGGUAAAGAAGCACCGGCUAACUACGUGCCAGCAGCCGCGGUGAUACGUAGGGUGCGAGCGUUGUCCGGAUUUAUUGGGCGUAAAGGGCUCGUAGGUGGUUGAUCGCGUCGGAAGUGUAAUCUUGGGGCUUAACCCUGAGCGUGCUUUCGAUACGGGUUGACUUGAGGAAGGUAGGGGAGAAUGGAAUUCCUGGUGGAGCGGUGGAAUGCGCAGAUAUCAGGAGGAACACCAGUGGCGAAGGCGGUUCUCUGGGCCUUUCCUGACGCUGAGGAGCGAAAGCGUGGGGAGCGAACAGGCUUAGAUACCCUGGUAGUCCACGCUGUAAACGGUGGGUACUAGGUGUGGGGUCCAUUCCACGGGUUCCGUGCCGUAGCUAACGCUUUAAGUACCCCGCCUGGGGAGUACGGCCGCAAGGCUAAAACUCAAAGGAAUUGACGGGGCCCCGCACAAGCGGCGGAGCAUGCGGAUUAAUUCGAUGCAACGCGUAGAACCUUACCUGGGUUUGACAUGGAUCGGGAGUGCUCAGAGAUGGGUGUGCCUCUUUUGGGGUCGGUUCACAGGUGGUGCAUGGCUGUCGUCAGCUCGUGUCGUGAGAUGUUGGGUUAAGUCCCGCAACGAGCGCAACCCUUGUUCACUGUUGCCAGCACGUUAUGGUGGGGACUCAGUGGAGACCGCCGGGGUCAACUCGGAGGAAGGUGGGGAUGACGUCAAGUCAUCAUGCCCCUUAUGUCCAGGGCUUCACGCAUGCUACGAUGGCUGGUACAGAGAGUGGCGAGCCUGUGAGGGUGAGCGAAUCUCGGAAAGCCGGUCUCAGUUCGGAUUGGGGUCUGCAACUCGACCUCAUGAAGUCGGAGUCGCUAGUAAUCGCAGAUCAGCAACGCCGCGGUGAAUACGUUCCCGGGGCUUGUACACACCGCCCGUCAAGUCAUGAAAGUUGGUAACACCCGAAGCCGGUGGCCUAACCGUUGUGGGGGAGCCGUCGAAGGUGGGACCGGUGAUUAGGACUA
This 1440-nucleotide ribosomal RNA is filed under the name uncultured organism. RNAcentral describes it as "16S ribosomal RNA". It matches the Rfam family "Bacterial small subunit ribosomal RNA". The record is from RNAcentral.